Molecule: long non-coding RNA, 203 nt
Filed under: Pan troglodytes (chimpanzee)
Lineage: Eukaryota; Metazoa; Chordata; Mammalia; Primates; Hominidae
Description: long non-coding RNA NONPTRT003847
Source: RNAcentral
AAAAAAAAAAGAAAAAAGAAAAAUUUUAACUUGAAAACCAUUUAGAAAUUGACUAACCUUUUAUCUCUGAUGUUGACACUAACUUUUUUCAAAGUUUUACUUUGCCAUUGUAAAGAAAUCUAAAACCAUCAAUACUAUGAAAAUAUUUCCACAAAUAUAGUAUUAUGAACUACAGAGUAAAUAUAUCCUUCAUUUAACCUAAG